This 254-nucleotide ribosomal RNA is filed under the name uncultured prokaryote. RNAcentral's name for it is "partial 16S ribosomal RNA". It matches the Rfam family "Bacterial small subunit ribosomal RNA", at positions 524 to 777 of the family's 1533-position model. The record is from RNAcentral.
UACGGAGGAUGCAAGCGUUAUCCGGAUUUAUUGGGUUUAAAGGGUGCGCAGGUUGUUUGAUAAGUCAGUGGUGAAAGUCUGUCGCUUAACGGUAGGAUUGCCAUUGAUACUGUUAGACUUGAAUAUGGAUGAGGUAGGCGGAAUGUGUAGUGUAGCGGUGAAAUGCAUAGAUAUUACACAGAACACCGAUUGCGAAGGCAGCUUACUAAUCCAUCAUUGGCGCUGAGGCACGAAAGCGUGGGGAUCAAACAGGA